RNAcentral lists this ribosomal RNA (1470 nucleotides) under Triticum aestivum (bread wheat). Its description in RNAcentral is "partial small subunit ribosomal RNA". Lineage: Eukaryota; Viridiplantae; Streptophyta; Magnoliopsida; Poales; Poaceae. The record is from RNAcentral.
AUGCAUGUUGAUACUAUAAUGGAAUCUCGUGAUGCAACAUUUUUUGAGAACAUAUUUCCUAUGAAAGAUAUGCAUAGCAUUGCUAGAUUUUCUUCUGAGAUAAUUCCUGAAUCUAGUACAACUGAUGAAUAUUUCGAACAAUCACAUGAGGAAGUCCUUGAGAAGGAGAACAAUGAAGUUCCUAGAAGGAACAAGAGACAAAGGAUUGCAAAAUCCUUUGGUGAUGAUUUCAUUGUACACCUUGUGGACGACACACCCAAGACGAUUGCAGAAGCAUAUGCAUCUCCGGAUGUAGAUGAUUGGAAAGAAGUUGUUCAUAAUGAGAUGGACUCAAUUCUUUCUAAUGGAACUUGGGAACUAACUGAUAGACCAUAUGGUUGUAAACCUGUGGGCUGUAAGUGGGUGUUCAAAAAGAAGCUAAAGCCUGAUGGUACUAUUGAUAAGUACAAGGCGCGGCUAGUGGCCAAGGGCUACACUCAGAAAGAAGGCGAAGAUUACUUUGACACCUAUUCACCCGUUGCUAGAAUGACCACCAUUCGAGUGUUACUUUCCUUGGCUGCCUCUUAUGGUCUUAUCAUUCAUCAAAUGGAUGUAAAGACAGCUUUUCUCAAUGGAGAGUUGGAAGAGGAGAUCUAUAUGGAUCAGCCUGACGGGUUUGUGGUAAAGGGUGAAGAGAGAAAGGAGGCUGAUAGGUGUGUUUACUAUCUCCAUGGUGGGGGCAAUAGUGUCAUAUUAUGUUUGUAUGUGGACGACAUACUGAUCUUUGGUACAAACAUUAAUGCAAUUAAUGAGUCUCACUAUGUUGAGAAGGUCUUGAACCGAUUCGGUUUUAUGGAUAGCAAGCCUUCUCCAACACCUUAUGAUCCCAGCGUGACACUCAGAAAGAACAAGAAAGAAACGAGAGAUCAAUUAAGAUACUCUCAAAUUGUCGGUUCACUCAUGUACUUAGCUAGCGCUACAAGACCAGAUAUCUCUUUUGCUGUGAGCAAACUGAGUAGGUUCAUGUCCAACCCGGGUGAUGAUCAUUGGCAUGCACUAGAAAGGGUCUUGCGCUAUCUGAGAGGUACUAUGAGUUACGGAAUUACUUAUUCAGGGCAUCCUGCUGUGCUAGAAGGAUAUAGUGAUUCAAAUUGGAUCUCCGAUGUUGAUGUACUUUACACAACAAGUGGGUAUGUAUUUACUCAUGGUGGUGGCGCAGUGUCAUGGAGGUCUUGCAAGCAAACCAUAUUGACGAGGUCAACUAUGGAAGCAGAAUUAACUGCUUUGGACACAGCUACUGUUGAGGCAGAAUGGCUACGUGAGCUCUUGAUGGACUUGCCGGUUGUUGAAAAACCUGUACCGGCUAUUCUUAUGAAUUGUGAUAACCAAACGGUUAUCGCUAAAGUGAACAAUUCUAAAGAUAAUGCAAAGUCAUCAAGACACGUGAAAAGACGUUUGAAGUCUGUCAGGAAGUUGAGAACUCCGGAGUAA